Pelobates cultripes (western spadefoot toad) is the source of this 343-nucleotide non-coding RNA. Lineage: Eukaryota; Metazoa; Chordata; Amphibia; Anura; Pelobatidae. The record is from the annotation of a GenBank genome assembly.
UCAAACUACCAUGAACAUUGAGGUUUAUUGGCAGUGUUUCUAAUUGGCACUGACAAAAGUUUUAAAAGUAAUGAGAAAUCAAACUUUGCAUGCAUAGUAAACAGCUUUAUAGAGGUUUAACAACCCGAUUAGUCCUAGCACUUUAACCACUACAACAUGGUGUGUAGAGUGUAGGGAUCAAGGUGUGUGGAGUGUUUGUUUUAGCUAAAAGUAUUUGGAUUAAUUACUUUUUGGUUCACUUUCUCUCUUUAUAACAUGGUUUCUGUUGUAACGUUAGUUUUGUUUAUAUGAUCCCUCCCCUUUACAAUGGAAGAUUUGACCAUUGUACUUUUUAACCAUCUUU